UACGGAGGGGGCUAGCGUUGUUCGGAAUUACUGGGCGUAAAGCGCACGUAGGCGGACCAGCAAGUUGGGGGUGAAAUCCCGGGGCUCAACCCCGGAACUGCCUUCAAAACUGCGAGUCUGGAGGUCGAGAGAGGUGAGUGGAAUUCCGAGUGUAGAGGUGAAAUUCGUAGAUAUUCGGAGGAACACCAGUGGCGAAGGCGGCUCACUGGCUCGAUACUGACGCUGAGGUGCGAAAGCGUGGGGAGCAAACAGG
RNAcentral lists this ribosomal RNA (253 nucleotides) under uncultured bacterium. RNAcentral describes it as "partial 16S ribosomal RNA". It matches the Rfam family "Bacterial small subunit ribosomal RNA", at positions 524 to 776 of the family's 1533-position model. The record is from RNAcentral.